Molecule: unclassified non-coding RNA, 391 nt
Filed under: soil metagenome
Description: partial contains 5.8S ribosomal RNA, internal transcribed spacer 2, and large subunit ribosomal RNA
Rfam family: 5.8S ribosomal RNA (bases 1-122)
Source: RNAcentral
GAUGAAGAACGUAGCGAAAUGCGAUACUUGGUGUGAAUUGCAGAAUCCCGUGAACCAUCGAGUCUUUGAACGCAAGUUGCGCCCGAAGCCAUUAGGCCGAGGGCACGCCUGCCUGGGCGUCACACGUCGUUGCCCCCCCAUCUACUCCUUCGGGAUUGCGGGGGGCGGAUGAUGGCCUCCCGUGCGCCUCGUCGCGCGGUUGGCAUAAAUGCCAAGUCCUCGGCGACACACGCCACGACAAUCGGUGGUUGCGAAACCUCGGUUGCCCGUCGUGUGCGGUCGUCGCGCAUCGAGGGCUCGAAAAAAUUGCCGGGCUCCGGCUCGGCUUUCAACGCGAACCCAGGUCAGGCGGGGUUACCCGCUGAAUUUAAGCAUAUCAAUAAGCGGAGGA